RNAcentral lists this long non-coding RNA (246 nucleotides) under Vitis vinifera (wine grape). RNAcentral describes it as "long non-coding RNA (VVIN_LNC007581)". The record is from RNAcentral. Lineage: Eukaryota; Viridiplantae; Streptophyta; Magnoliopsida; Vitales; Vitaceae.
UGUUAAAAAUUUGUUUUGAAUCACUCCCCUAUUCUAAGCCAAUGGAUUGAAAUGUGAAAUUGUGGCUUUUGUUGGUUAUUUUCCUCUUCUUUCUGGAUGUUUUUUUUUUUUGUUUUUGUUUUCUUCUAUUUUUGGCCCACACCUCAACAAGCUCCAUUCCCGGCCUUCAAGAUUUGUUCUUUGUUUUGGAAUUAAAAAUAGAAAAUGGUAAAAAAAAAAAAAAAAAAAAAAAAAAAAAAAAAAAAA